This is a long non-coding RNA of Pelobates fuscus (common spadefoot toad), 515 nucleotides long. RefSeq lists it as uncharacterized. The record is from RefSeq and is a predicted model, not a curated record. The transcript is spliced from 3 exons. Lineage: Eukaryota; Metazoa; Chordata; Amphibia; Anura; Pelobatidae.
UAUGUAUAUAUCGGGAAAGCUAACUGAUACGUUUUAUUACAGUGGGUGCGAUCUGUCACAUUGAAGAACUUUGAAGAACUACUUGCAAAAAAAUAUCCCAGGUGGGAAUUAUUCCACCCACGCCCAGAGAAUUGAGCAGUAUCUCCAAAUACUGAGUUGAGCAGUAUCUCCAAAUGUGACUGAUGUAUACUACCCCAUUGUCUGCUAUGAAAACAGCAUAAUGUUAAACCAUCGGCAGCACCUUGGAACGCAGUGUUGAAUAGUUAUGUAGGUUGCUCUAUAGUCUAGUCUGCUCUGAAACCAGCAGGAAAAAAACAAUUCAUCAACUUAGGCAUAGCUUUCCAUUCCUCCCUUGCCCAAAUAUUUCAUUCAUUAUUCAACAGCAGUUUCUUACAUUUUGCUCCUAGAAGUGGAACCAUGUUCGCUUGUCUAAACCCUUUGAAGUAUAAUAGAUUGUGUUCUUUUGUUGGACUUGGGGCACAAACUGUAGGCCAGAUAUUGCUCUGUAUACUUUG